RNAcentral lists this long non-coding RNA (5900 nucleotides) under Coffea arabica (coffee). Its description in RNAcentral is "long non-coding RNA (CARA_LNC000878)". The record is from RNAcentral. Lineage: Eukaryota; Viridiplantae; Streptophyta; Magnoliopsida; Gentianales; Rubiaceae.
GUUCAUCCAGUUCUUCUCCGGCUGGAAAUGGUAGGAAGUUCUUUGCCAAGAUAGCAUAGCAUUGGUCCAAGGAUAGACAUCAUUCGCAUCAGAGACUCCCCGGAAAGUCUUCUCCGAGACUCCUUGAGGAACCCCUCUGGAAGCUGGAAUGAGAGAAUGAGGGGAGACAGGUGAGGAAGGGGAUGACUUGUUUAAAUUGGCAUUGAUCAUUUGAGAUUGAUCGCGAGGUUCUUCUUGUCCUUGGAAAAGGGUCAAGAUUAAGGUAAGCAGAAACAAUGAGGACAGGAAAAUGCCGGCCAGAACCUUAACGGGCCGUUGUCUACUUUGACCCGAGGACCGAGAAACCUCUGCUUCAUCGGAUUGCUCUAGCAAAGGAGCAUCGGAGACGGCAAGUUCAGGAUCAUAUGGCAGAGUAAGAGAACGAUUGGCGGCCAUUUUGGUAGAUGACGGUGGACGGAGAAGGGAAGGCUAGGCCGAAUGCUAGCUACAAAGGCGCUAUAUGGUAGACCACUACUCGACUAGCUAGUCGUACUACCAACAAUAUAUAUAUAUAUAUAGCAGUGGCAUUCGGGCUUUCAACGGGGGUGGUAAAAAAAAAAAAAAAAUUUAAAGGUGGAAUUCGGGCUCUCCAGGACUGGGGGCGGCCCCUGCUCAGCAGUUGGCAAUGUGUCUGCAUUUGAGUUUUCUUGCAUGAUGUGUGGUCCAACACGGAUUUUUCCAGAGCACUUUAUUGGUGGAGAGGGUUACGGGCCGGGUUCAACUUCUUCACCAGUUUUACUGUUUAAUAAAGUUUAAGCGAACAUUUUAUUCUUUUUUUGCCUUACGGAACUGCAAGUUAUUACGAUUAAAAACGUAAAAAAGAAAAUGCAGACAAAAAAAAAAGAAUAAAAUAGUUGUGUUUGAAUUGCAUUUUUCAUGAAAAAAUUACUGUAGCGAUUUGAUGUAUGCGAGGAAAAAAGAUAAUAGAGAAAUGUGAUCACGGAAAACGACGUAAUUUUUUGACGGAAAACAACAAUCAAAACAAGGCCAUGCCAAAGCUGAAAUUUUUUUUUUUUAAGGAAUAUACGUAUGUGGAAAAAUAAUCUUGCUAAGGUCCUUUUUAUUUGCAUUUAGGAAACUCCAUUUGUUGUUCCCCAGCAAUUCGACCCUAGAACUAGAUGCAAAUGAAGAUUGGUUCGAUUUCCUUUGUGUUUCAAAGGUAAAAGGGGGAAAAAAGGCGGCGUCAAGAGUGGAAAAUGUCUUAGCCAAAAAAAAAAAAAAAAAAGAGUAGAAAGUGAGGAAAAAGUCAAAACAAUGUAUAUUAAUAAACACUGGUCGAGGAAUAUUGAAUUACUCUUUUUAAAAGAAAAACCAAAAAGUACAUGAAUGUUGAACCAUACCGAUUCUGUAAUAUUAUUUUUAAUAACAUAAGUAAAAGAAUUUAAAUUCAAAAUUAUAUAUAUACAUAUUAUAUUCCAUCCCACCCUUCCUGAAUUUUGUGAUUGCAACACGUUAAAAAUUUUGCCGGUUUUAUUUGGUCAUCAUAUCUCUGUCUGACUACGGACAAAUCAGAAUUGGGCAAUGAGUUGGCAUUAUUGUAUUAUAGAAUCGUAUUCGUGUACCAAUCUUAGAAAGAAAAAGAAACAGUGAUGAUUGAAGAACAGACCUGCGUUGCUGAGCCAAUAUUUAGGGGCGCGAUGGAUCCUGGUUCCAGCUUGACGGUGUCAAAUUCAGUAGCAUUAAAUCUCAAGCUCUCCGCUUCUUCAACCGGCCAUUGAAGUAUAUUUGUUCCAGUCUUCUUGUCAAAAACCACCGUUCUUGGAUUGUCUGUGCAACACAUCAAACCAGCUAUUACUAUUAGGCCUGGGAACCACACAGUCCGAUGCAUGGCAGUGUCAUUAUUAUUAUUAUUAUAUUAUCGUUUUCCGUGAUCACAUUUUCCUAUCACCUUUUUCUCUCACAUAUAUCAAAUCGUUACAGUAAUUUUUCCAUAAAAAAUGACAAAAAAUGUAAUCCAAACACAACCUUAAGUUCCAUCUGGGCAAUCCAUCCAAGCUUGGUAAUCAUUCUUUCUUUAACUAAAUUCUUUGUGGGCUACAUGGUAAUUAGUAGUAUAUUUUUUGGUGGAGUAGACAUUAAAGUUGUUUCCGUUCAAAAGGAACAAAAAAAAGACACGUAGAAUAUGGUACCAUAUCACUUCACAAUUAGAGAGGCCAUCUUGACGUGGUUCUCACACACCAAAUGAAUAGAAUAUUAUCAAAGAACUUGAAAUCAAAGUCAAGGCAAUGCAUUAUGCACUUGUGAAUGAGGAGAACAAUAAUACUAAUAAUAAUGAUGAUACCUGAACCGAUGCCCAUCCUUUCAUGAGGUCAGCAGCUUCGCUGUCAGUUUCUCCAAUCCAACCCCACAAAAUCCUCCUCUUCUUGUUCUGGUCGUAAAAUGUCUUUGACGCGUAAUACUUGCCAUAGUCCAGACGCAACCCGAUACCCACAUCCAGUUCCGGAUCGUCAGGGGUCCACUUAUUGUUUUUCGGAUCAUAGGUGCCCAGUGCGUAGUAAUCGUGCUUGUUCUCGUCCAAGCUUGCCUUCAGGACGUGCUUAGUGCCAGGCCCAUUAGCCGAUGUAUCCAGCCCAUUAUCCCCCGUGGUGGAAACCGGGUAGAAAUCCACGCACUCCCACAUGCCUGUGCGGGGAACGGCGUGUAAAACCCCAUCCAAGAGCCGGUAGCCCUUGAAGUCGCUGGUUUCAUAAACCAGGGCAAUGCCCGUUUUAUUGACCUUGGACCCGAGAGUAACCAACCACUUGGUCCCAUCGGGCGCCAGCCAGGCGGUGGUGGGGUCCCUAAAGUCCUUCUUGCCAAUGCCAGGUGGGGGAUCAUGACCGGGUUACCCGGGUACUUGAUCCAGUCAAGGAGGAGAGGAUCGGAUAGGUUGGCGGGGUACGCAAGGUUUUGCACCUGCACCAGAUCAGCAGUGUCCCCAGUGUACAGGAUCACGAUUUGACCACCAGGAAGAAUGGUGGCUGAACCGGUCCAUACACCAUUGAUAUCGAACGGCCUAUCGGGGACCAUGGCGAAGGGCAGAUACAGCCAGUGAAUAAGGUCCCUUGAAACCGCAUGUCCCCAUGUGAUGUUUCCCCAGAUAGCUGAAUCCGGAUUGUAUUGGUAGAAAAGGUGGUACCAACCCAUGUGGAACAAUGGACCUGUACCAGCAUAGCUUUUUUUUUUUUUUUUUUUUAUCAAAACAUGCAUUGUCCCUGGAGACUCUUAUGAUUGUCAUCGUUCUAAAACAAGUUGAAACCACAUGCACUUUAUCAAGUACGAACAGAAUUGUUAUUAAGGGCUGUGAGGAAAGCCGCCUCGAUUUAUUACAGGGAUGGUCAGGUCUCAGAUCACGAUAUUCUUCCUUUCUUUUUGUUUUUUUUGGCCAAAUACGCUACAUUCUAUUUUAUACCUAUUCUUACUAUACUAUAUACUAGAAGGAGGGAGACCUAAAGGGAUCCGGGAAGAAUCUGAAAGGACUGAACCACCGUCGAUCUAAACGGAUGACUACACAUUCGUUAGGAAAUUCCAGAGAAUCCUGGAUUGAACGUAGACAAAGGGAUUUAAUCUCUUAUUAACCUACACCCUUAAGUAAAAUUUUAAGAUUCACUUGGUAACCAACUGCUCUAGAAGUAGUUGGUUAGAUUAAGAUAUUCCCCGAUCUUGUGGUUUUUGAAGCAGAAAUUAUACAGUAAGAGAAGUGUUGAGAAGGCAAGUUGGCAACUGCCCCGUCAUGGCUGUCAUCCGGGACGGUUGGACGAAUUCAAAGUUUCAUGCUGAUUUCUCCACCAAGAAAUACUACAAGAAUUAAUCUACAGCAUUUGCAUAAUAUUCAAGAAAGCAACAAUUCAUCCCAUGGAAAUUUCAGCCUCUCGUGGGAUGUGCGUGCAAGAAAUUGAAAAGUAUGUGUAGUUUUGCAUCCCAUAACUUUGGGGUCUAUCAAAUGCCACGUAGAAAUUCUGGUGAUUUUGAAAAUUUCAGACCCAAAAUGAACGAAAAGACGUGUGCAGCAGACUCGUCACAAUUGAUUUUGCAAAAUUGAACACGACUCUCUCCCAUCUUCCUAGUUGUUAUCCGAGUAGCUUCGUUGCAAUAAUUGGAUUGGGCACUUACAUAUUAAUGCAUUUAUCUGUUAGCUUCCAAUUUCAAUUUCACAAUCCAGAAGAAAGAAACUGAAACGGAAAAAAAAAAAUCCAAAACCACAGAGUAUUAUUCAGCCAAGGAUGGAGUCGAGGGAGGGACAAUUCUAUUUUGAGCCCUUUAUUUCAAUUAUUCCUUGAUAGAGAGAGAGAGUGAAAAGAACUUGUGGCCCUUAACAAUUUUCCUAUCGGCUCUAUCCAUUUUAUGUACUUCGACCUGGGUGUAUAAAAUCACUGGGCCAUUGGCUCAGUGACCAUCAGGGUUGACGAGGGUUUAAAUCUCAUCAGCAGCGAAAAAAAUUUAAGGGUUGUGCUAUAGCACUUCCUUGAUCUAGUUGGAUCUGUAUACCCACUAGUCCCUUUCAUAGUCUCCUUAGGCUCCCUUCCCCCUAGAUUAUGAUAGAGUAAGUUAUACAAAUACAUCGUUGCUGAAAAAAAAAAAACUUGGGUGUAUAAAUUAUUAGGCACAACUACUUGGGAGUACUAUAGUAGUAGAAAUGUGGCUUUCCACGUUCCACAAUCUACAAAAAGCCAGAUGGACAAAUGCACAUGUGGCGUGUUGACCCACCCACAUGGAAAUGAGUAUUCGGAGAAAGAACCCUCCUUGAUUGGUCCACAACUCUCUUCCAAAACCCCAAAAAAAAAAAAAAAAAAGAAUUAACUAAUCCUCAAUCAACUACUACUAUAUAGGGCACUUUUACCACCACACAUUCGUUUGAAUCUUCCGAAUAAAGUACCCUACUAGCAAUAAUACGCCAACCAUCAAGAAGAAGUUGAAUUAUUACGAUUCUCCUACACAGACGGAAUCCCCAGACAGAAACCUAUACUUGCACGGCGGGAAUCCCAUGGUCAACUACAAUGCCUACGCAUGUUAGACAAAUUACUACGACAUUAAAACGAGAAAACACCCCAUGGGCUCCAAAAUUAUAGGAAUGUACAACUCUAAUCUAAACUAGACAAUUAGAGGAUGGAAAGUAUAUGCUUGCAAUUUGCAGUAUCAGAAGCAAAUGAAAGUGAUUGAGCAACGUACCAUUAGGAUCUAGAGUAGACGAAAUUUCCCGCGCAAAGUUGUGUGUGUCAUCAAACCACCAACAGUGAAGGAAAAAAAAAAAAGAAGCUCGGAUUAGUAUGCAUGAAUGCAUCACAUACCUUAAAAUUCUACAAUGGUAAGGAAUUUUCAGAGAAAAGAGACGGGUUGGCUUUUGGAACCUGCAAGAUUGGAUUAUGACUCACCGUUCAUCCAGUUCUUCUCCGGCUGGAAAUGGUAGGAAGUUCUUUGCCAAGAUAGCAUAGCAUUGGUCCAAGGAUAGACAUCAUUCGCAUCAGAGACUCCCCGGAAAGUCUUCUCCGAGACUCCUUGAGGAACCCCUCUGGAAGCUGGAAUGAGAGAAUGAGGGGAGACAGGUGAGGAAGGGGAUGACUUGUUUAAAUUGGCAUUGAUCAUUUGAGAUUGAUCGCGAGGUUCUUCUUGUCCUUGGAAAAGGGUCAAGAUUAAGGUAAGCAGAAACAAUGAGGACAGGAAAAUGCCGGCCAGAACCUUAACGGGCCGUUGUCUACUUUGACCCGAGGACCGAGAAACCUCUGCUUCAUCGGAUUGCUCUAGCAAAGGAGCAUCGGAGACGGCAAGUUCAGGAUCAUAUGGCAGAGUAAGAGAACGAUUGGCGGCCAUUUUGGUAGAUGACGGUGGACGGAGAAGGGAAGGCUAGGCCGAAUGCUAGCUACAAAGGCGCUAUAUGGUAGACC